UAAGUUUUAAGUUAUACAAACUGCUAGCCUUCAAAGCUUUUUUAAAGAUCUAUCUUAAACUUAA
RNAcentral lists this transfer RNA (64 nucleotides) under Stygobromus tenuis potomacus. Its description in RNAcentral is "tRNA-Trp". Lineage: Eukaryota; Metazoa; Arthropoda; Malacostraca; Amphipoda; Crangonyctidae. The record is from RNAcentral.